Molecule: ribosomal RNA, 498 nt
Filed under: uncultured bacterium
Lineage: Bacteria
Description: partial 16S ribosomal RNA
Rfam family: Bacterial small subunit ribosomal RNA
Source: RNAcentral
AUUGAACGCUGGCGGCAUGCCUUACACAUGCAAGUCGAACGGCAGCACGGGGCAACCUGGUGGCGAGUGGCGAACGGGUGAGUAAUGCAUCGGAACGUACCUUCCAGUGGGGGAUAACGUAGCGAAAGUUACGCUAAUAUCGCAUAUUCUGUGAGCAGGAAAGCAGGGGAUCGCAAGACCUUGCGCUGAUUGAGCGGCCGAUGUCAGAUUAGCUAGUUGGUGAGGUAAAGGCUCACCAAGGCGACGAUCUGUAGCGGGUCUGAGAGGAUGAUCCGCCACAGUGGAACUGAGACACGGUCCAGACUCCUACGGGAGGCAGCAGUGGGGAAUUUUGGACAAUGGGGGCAACCCUGAUCCAGCCAUGCCGCGUGAGUGAAGAAGGCCUUCGGGUUGUAAAGCUCUUUCGGCCGGGAAGAAAUCGCACGGGCUAAUACCCUGUGUGGAUGACGGUACCGGAAUAAGAAGCACCGGCUAACUACGUGCCAGCCGCCGCGGUAA